CCCAUGAACCAUGUCAGGUCCUGACGGAAGCAGCAUUAAGUGGAUCCUCAUAUGUGCCGUAGGGUAGCCGAGAUUUAGCUGUCGACUUCGGUAACGUUUGUGAUACACACUCGAUUCGAAGGUGCACGG
RNAcentral lists this signal recognition particle RNA (129 nucleotides) under Staphylococcus sp. Its description in RNAcentral is "partial signal recognition particle sRNA large type". It matches the Rfam family "Bacterial large signal recognition particle RNA", at positions 135 to 256 of the family's 256-position model. Rfam says of the family: The signal recognition particle (SRP) is a universally conserved ribonucleoprotein involved in the co-translational targeting of proteins to membranes. Archaeal SRP consists of a 7S RNA and homologues of the eukaryotic SRP19 and SRP54 proteins. Lineage: Bacteria; Bacillati; Bacillota; Bacilli; Caryophanales; Staphylococcaceae. The record is from RNAcentral.